Ipomoea nil (Japanese morning glory) is the source of this 216-nucleotide microRNA precursor. It matches the Rfam family "MIR159 microRNA precursor family". NCBI's taxonomy places the organism in Eukaryota, Viridiplantae, Streptophyta, Magnoliopsida, Solanales, Convolvulaceae. The record is from Rfam.
GAAAAAAGAAGAGAGCUUUCUUCAGUCCAAACAUGGGUGGCAGUAGGAUUCAAUUAGCUUCCGACUCAUUCAUCCAAAUGCUGAGAUGAGAUGACGAUGAACCCGGCCUUGAUGACUAAUGAACACUGUCUCAGUAACUGAGUGAAUGAUGCGGGAGACAAGUUGGAUCUUAAGCUUCCUGUACUUGGACUGAAGGGAGCUCCCUUUUUAACCUUU